GAUGAACGCUAGCGGGAGGCCUAACACAUGCAAGCCGAGCGGUAUUGUUUCUUCGGAAAUGAGAGAGCGGCGUACGGGUGCGGAACACGUGUGCAACCUGCCUUUAUCUGGGGGAUAGCCUUUCGAAAGGAAGAUUAAUACUCCAUAAUAUAUUGAACGGCAUCGUUUAAUAUUGAAAGCUCCGGCGGAUAGAGAUGGGCACGCGCAAGAUUAGCUAGUUGGUGAGGUAACGGCUCACCAAGGCGAUGAUCUUUAGGGGGCCUGAGAGGGUGAUCCCCCACACUGGUACUGAGACACGGACCAGACUCCUACGGGAGGCAGCAGUGAGGAAUAUUGGUCAAUGGGUGCAAGCCUGAACCAGCCAUCCCGCGUGAAGGACGACUGCCCUAUGGGUUGUAAACUUCUUUUGUAUAGGGAUAAACCUACCCUCGUGAGGGUAGCUGAAGGUACUAUACGAAUAAGCACCGGCUAACUCCGUGCCAGCAGCCGCGGUAAUACGGAGGGUGCGAGCGUUAUCCGGAUUUAUUGGGUUUAAAGGGUCCGUAGGCGGACUUAUAAGUCAGUGGUGAAAGCCUGUCGCUUAACGAUAGAACUGCCAUUGAUACUGUAAGUCUUGAGUAUAUUUGAGGUAGCUGGAAUAAGUAGUGUAGCGGUGAAAUGCAUAGAUAUUACUUAGAACACCAAUUGCGAAGGCAGGUUACCAAGAUAUAACUGACGCUGAGGGGCGAAAGCGUGGGGAGCGAACAGGAUUAGAUACCCUGGUAGUCCACGCCGUAAACGAUGCUAACUCGUUUUUGGGCUUUAGGGUUCAGAGACCAAGCGAAAGUGAUAAGUUAGCCACCUGGGGAGUACGCUCGCAAGAGUGAAACUCAAAGGAAUUGACGGGGGCCCGCACAAGCGGUGGAUUAUGUGGUUUAAUUCGAUGAUACGCGAGGAACCUUACCAAGACUUAAAUGGGAAUUGACAGCUUUAGAAAUAGAGCUUUCUUCGGACAAUUUUCAAGGUGCUGCAUGGUUGUCGUCAGCUCGUGCCGUGAGGUGUUAGGUUAAGUCCUGCAACGAGCGCAACCCCUGUCACUAGUUGCCAUCAUUCAGUUGGGGACUCUAGUGAGACUGCCUACGCAAGUAGAGAGGAAGGUGGGGAUGACGUCAAAUCAUCACGGCCCUUACGUCUUGGGCCACACACGUAAUACAAUGGCCGGUACAGAGGGCAGCUACACAGCGAUGUGAUGCAAAUCUCGAAAGCCGGUCUCAGUUCGGAUUGGAGUCUGCAACUCGACUCUAUGAAGCUGGAACCGCUAGUAAUCGCGCAUCAGCCAUGGCGCGGUGAAUACGUUCCCGGGCCU
Molecule: ribosomal RNA, 1345 nt
Filed under: uncultured bacterium
Lineage: Bacteria
Description: bacterial SSU rRNA
Rfam family: Bacterial small subunit ribosomal RNA
Source: RNAcentral